GUAGGUGGCAAGCGUUGUCCGGGAAUUAUUGGGGCGUAAAGCGCGCGCAGGCGGUUUUUUAAGUCUGGAUGUGAAAGCCCACGGGCUCAACCGUGGGAGGGUCAUUGGAGACUGGAGAACUUGAGUACAGAAGAGGAAAGCGGAAUUCCACGUGUAGCGGUGAAAUGCGUAGAGAUGUGGAGGAACACCAGUGGCGAAGGCGGCUUUCUGGUCUGUAACUGACGCUGAGGCGCGAAAGCGUGGGGAGCAAACAGGAUUAGAUACCCUGGUAGUCCACGCCGUAAACGAUGAGUGCUAAGUGUUAGGGGUUUCCGCCCCUUAGUGCUGCAGCUAACGCAUUAAGCACUCCGCCUGGGGAGUACGGCCGCAAAGGCUGA
This 377-nucleotide ribosomal RNA is filed under the name uncultured organism. RNAcentral describes it as "partial 16S ribosomal RNA". It matches the Rfam family "Bacterial small subunit ribosomal RNA", at positions 527 to 897 of the family's 1533-position model. The record is from RNAcentral.